Molecule: non-coding RNA, 73 nt
Organism: Trichonephila clavipes
Lineage: Eukaryota; Metazoa; Arthropoda; Arachnida; Araneae; Nephilidae
Source: the annotation of a GenBank genome assembly
GUCCCUGUAGCACAAGGAAUAGCGCCUUGGAAUUCUUAUCCGAAGGUCGUGGGUUUGAAUCCCCCCUGGGAUG